AAUUUCCUGCAAUGGUAAAGUGCUGUAUUACUGGGACCAACAUCAACGAAUAGGGAGCUUUUCUCCGGGCGCGGAAAGCAUGCCUCCUUGUCGAGGAAGCUUGAACCGUCCGGGAGGCACCCACCGUGACAAGCUGGGUUCCAGCUAAUCUCACUUUGCCAUUGCAGGAUUUUU
This 174-nucleotide non-coding RNA is filed under the name Fidelibacterota bacterium. RNAcentral describes it as "6S RNA". It matches the Rfam family "6S / SsrS RNA". From Rfam's summary of the family: E. coli 6S RNA was the first non coding RNA to be sequenced, but its function was unknown until recently. It consists of 184 nucleotides that fold into an extended hairpin structure with a large single-stranded internal bulge. Lineage: Bacteria; Pseudomonadati; Fidelibacterota. The record is from RNAcentral.